This 1998-nucleotide long non-coding RNA is filed under the name Nicotiana tabacum (common tobacco). Its description in RNAcentral is "long non-coding RNA (NTAB_LNC002638)". Lineage: Eukaryota; Viridiplantae; Streptophyta; Magnoliopsida; Solanales; Solanaceae. The record is from RNAcentral.
GACCUACCAGAACCCUUUCUUCUCCCCUCUCUCAGCCUCCGCCCCACGCCGCCGCUGGAAAUCGCCCACGGUGGCGGCCAACCUCUAAACAUCCCCAAAUCAACACCAGACAAUCCUCGCCUCCUCCUUAUACCAUAUCUCUUCUUAGUUUCCUUCAAAACCCCUCAGAUUCUCUCGAUAUAUAGAUCUAAGAUUUUCGGAAACUCUUAGUUUCGCCCUUUCUUGAUUCUUCGAUAUUCUCAAAUCGUUUUGACCUAAAACUUACGCUAAUCGAUUGUUCUUACGUUAGUUUUGGCUCAUCUCAAAAUCACCGAAAUCCGGUCAAAUACCAUUGAAUCAACCACUUACCGUUCUGUUUCUCAGGAUGACGGGAAUCAUUUUGGUCGCCCCUUUGAGCUCAGUAGGUAUAUCUCUUUUUCUUCUUAUUUCCCUAUUAUUUUCAACUGUGUGGUUUUGUGUUGAAUUUGUUCAAUCAAUUAAAUCUAGUUAUGCAGAAUUAAGAGUUAGAUGAAUUAAUGUUUGCAUAUCUAGAUUGAUAGUUAAUCACUUAUUUUAAUUAGUUUGAUUGUGUUUUGAACUAGUUUUAAAUUUUUAAAAGUAAUGUUUGUUUAGUUUUCAAUUUGAAUUAGACUUCAAAUCUGUUUGUUUGAAUGUCUUAGCUUAGUAUUGGGCAUGUCUUGUUUGACAUGCAGGCCAACUAGAUUAAAAUCCAAGUUGAGAAGGAUUUAGGGUCUAGGUCUUGAUUUUGGGCUUGUUGGCCAGAAGGCCCAUGCGUGUGAAUGCUAGCUAUGUGGUAAAAAAAAUAGGGGUUUAAGAUGCUAAAAGUUGUUAUAAAGCAAUACAUUCACACAUAUACACAAAUAUUCACACUCUUCUCAUUCGCAUUCACUCUUAUCUCACCCAUACAACAUCUUCACAUCUCACUCACACACUCAUUCAUAUACAAUUCAAAAUUUUAAAAAUUCAGCAGCACUAAAACAGUUGAAAAUAAAGUUUGAAAUUCAAAAAAUAAAAUCCAGUUGAAAUCUAGAAUCAGAAUAACUUUAAAAAACAGAAGGAAGUACCAUAUGGAGAAGGAUACAAAGUUGUUUUCAAAUUCCAGCACAUUUGAUUGAUAUUUCUAGGAUUUCAAAAGUUAUUUCAAGGUUUUGCGAGCUAAAAAACUACUAUUCGAUUGACUAGAUAUGUUGUCCUUGCUUUGCUGAACUCAAUUCCAUUUCUUCAUCGUUUUCUUCCUUGAUUUAGUCAUUUUAAGGUAUUCCUUAACUUCUAAUCUCGUAACCUUGUGUGAAUUUAGUAAAAUCUUGUUUGUUGCAGAUUGAUUGUUGUUGAAAUAAAGUUAUUUGUUCUUCCUUGCUGAGUUGAAUGACUGCCAUAACUGAUUUAGCUAUAUCAUGAUUUUGUUUGAGCAUCAAAUUUAAAUUAAUCGUAGUUAUUCCAUCCCACAUUUACUAGAAUUACUCUUGUGUUAAUUGGUGACGAAGAGGCUCAAUUGACUGAGCUAAUGGCUUAAGUUUACGGAUCUUAUCACUGGUUGAUUAGAUCGGUAAACAUUAUGAUUAAAGAGGCAAUUCCAGAUAUGUCCGUGGUGUAUUGCUGGUUGAUUUGUAUAUUGAUGUAAAACUAAAAGGCUUUUAGUACAACUAAAUGAUGUUAUCAUACUGCUUUAGCUCAUACAAAUCUAGUUAUUAUUGUAAAUUCAAAAUAAUAAUCCUUGAUGCGACAGUAUAAUGUUGUAAUUUAUAAAGUUCGAGCAAUCAUGUGUUCAUGCUUGGAAAGAUUUUAUCGUUGCUUUCAUUUGUGCAAUAAGGUACGAAAAUUGGGUGAAGAAUUAGAUGGAUUAGUUAUUAGAUCUUUGGUUUCAGAGCACUGCUCGUCCUAAACAAUUAGCUCAUACGAAGUUGUGCUAUUGAUUUGGGUUUUUCAUAGACUUGGAACUUUAGUAUGUGUUUGGGCUCAUUUAGAGGCCCAAUUGGAAGCUUGUGAUUUUAAUGCGCA